CGAACGGGUGAGUAACACGUGGGUAACCUGCCCAUUAGAAGGGGAUAACACUUGGAAACAGGUGCUAAUACCGUAUAACAAUCGAAACCGCAUGGUUUCGGUUUGAAAGGCGCUUUUGCGUCACUGAUGGAUGGACCCGCGGUGCAUUAGCUAGUUGGUGAGGUAACGGCUCACCAAGGCAACGAUGCAUAGCCGACCUGAGAGGGUGAUCGGCCACAUUGGGACUGAGACACGGCCCAA
RNAcentral lists this ribosomal RNA (240 nucleotides) under uncultured bacterium. Its description in RNAcentral is "partial 16S ribosomal RNA". It matches the Rfam family "Bacterial small subunit ribosomal RNA", at positions 99 to 334 of the family's 1533-position model. The record is from RNAcentral.